UUCAAUUAGGAUGUUGCCUGUAUAGGCAGCAGACAGCCGUGCGGUUCACUAGGUUUGGAGUGUGUGUGUGUGUGUGUGUGUGUGUGUGCUGCUGACCCUCCUCUAAUGGCUCUGAUGAUAGAUCAGUUGUGUGCUGAUGAUAAUUAAUUCUCUCGGUGUGUUUUAGGACGGGUCGGCGCUGACGCUCUGUCAGUCAGAUGGUUCUCAGGAGAGUCUUUUGUUUUGAAUAGGGGGAAAAUCUGAGCCGCCGAGAAGAGAUUCCCAGCCCGAUCAAUUCCCUCUAACUACACUAUUGAUUAGCUGCAGUAACAUUUUUCAUUUAUUAAUUAUGAGGAAUAUGUACUUGGAAGUGUCUCUCUGUCUCUCCUGAUAGGGUCAUCAGCCAUAAGCUGAUAUCAUUUGGUGCUUGUAUGAAUGUGCUAUAGACAUAUUGUCGUCAUUAAGGACACACUGACACGUCUUUGUCUCUGAAAUAUGACUCUGCAUCUUCCAUACUUCUCUUUCUGAUAGGGAGGUUUUAUUUUUAGGUUUAAAAUGAUUAAGCUCUGGCUUUAAUGGUGUUUCAGUGCUAGUACAUAUACAGUAGUACAAUGUCAUUUACACCUAAAAAUGUCAUUGAAUUAGAUGACAAAAUAUGAAUAAACAUGCACAAAUACACCUUUAAUGCCAAGAAUAUUGACAAAAAGUACAUGCAUCUAAUAAAAACCACAACAUAUUUAAGUAUUUAAUUGAUACUGUGAUCUUUUUAGGAAGUGUCCAAAUACGUGCUUCCACGGAAAUGACAUCUUAUAUUUGGGUCUUAAACACACUCAUAUGUGACGUGGAGCAUCUGUUUAUGUGCUUAAAGAUGGUGAUAUUGAUUGUGUUAAUUAUGGCUUGACUUUCACCUCCUCAGGACGGAUACGGCUGUGUUCAUGAGUGUGAAGAUCACACAUGUGUCAUUCCCGAGGAAGAAUGAUGCCUCGCCUUCGGCCACAAGAUCUUGCACCUGAAAGAUAUAAAACCGCACCCAGCGUCUCACACUCGUGACUCACCGUUUCCCGCCUCCCUCGACAAGACAGAAAUUACCCUCAAACUGAUUCUACGAUCAAUAACAACAUGCCCACCAAUCAAGAGCGCCGACCCGGGGUUAAGAUCCAAUCAGCAGCUCACACUCCUCCUGCUUCAAGAGUCUGAGCAGACGCAAACAAACAAGACGUUUACAGGUCUGAGGAGAGACACACAAACCAGACGUUAUUCAUAGAAACACGAACAAAGAUUUGAAAUAAAUAUGAUUCUGAGAUGUAUUCUUUGUUAUGA
Cyprinus carpio (common carp) is the source of this 1299-nucleotide long non-coding RNA. NCBI's taxonomy places the organism in Eukaryota, Metazoa, Chordata, Actinopteri, Cypriniformes, Cyprinidae. The record is from Ensembl.